AACGAACGCUGGCGGCAUGCCUAACACAUGCAAGUCGAACGAGACCUUCGGGUCUAGUGGCGCACGGGUGCGUAACGCGUGGGAACCUGCCCUUAGGUUCGGAAUAACUCCCCGAAAGGGGUGCUAAUACCGGAUAAUGUCUUCGGCCCAACGAUUUAUCGCCUUUGGAUGGGCCCGCGUUGGAUUAGCUAGUUGGUAGGGUAAAAGCCUACCAAGGCGACGAUCCAUAGCUGGUCUGAGAGGAUGAUCAGCCACACUGGGACUGAGACACGGCCCAGACUCCUACGGGAGGCAGCAGUGGGGAAUAUUGGACAAUGGGCGAAAGCCUGAUCCAGCAAUGCCGCGUGAGUGAUGAAGGCCUUAGGGUUGUAAAGCUCUUUUACCCGGGAUGAUAAUGACAGUACCGGGAGAAUAAGCUCCGGCUAACUCCGUG
RNAcentral lists this ribosomal RNA (433 nucleotides) under uncultured bacterium. RNAcentral describes it as "partial 16S ribosomal RNA". It matches the Rfam family "Bacterial small subunit ribosomal RNA", at positions 29 to 507 of the family's 1533-position model. The record is from RNAcentral.